Molecule: microRNA precursor, 101 nt
Filed under: Ixodes scapularis (black-legged tick)
Lineage: Eukaryota; Metazoa; Arthropoda; Arachnida; Ixodida; Ixodidae
Description: microRNA isc-mir-71 precursor
Gene: isc-mir-71
Rfam family: mir-71 microRNA precursor family (bases 16-89)
Source: miRBase by way of RNAcentral
GAGUUUGCAGUGUUGAUUCCCUGAAAGACAUGGGUAGUGAGAUGAGUUUGACUGCAUUGCCAUCUCACUACCUUGUCUUUGUUGGAAAUAGCACGUGCAGU